UUAAGGAAUUUGAAGACUUCAACUUGCAGACUAGAAGAAUUUGAGGACCUCAACCUGCAGACUUGGAGGACUUUGAAGACUUUAAUU
Molecule: microRNA precursor, 87 nt
Filed under: Solanum tuberosum (potato)
Lineage: Eukaryota; Viridiplantae; Streptophyta; Magnoliopsida; Solanales; Solanaceae
Description: MIR8024 microRNA precursor family
Rfam family: MIR8024 microRNA precursor family
Source: Rfam by way of RNAcentral